RNAcentral lists this long non-coding RNA (6936 nucleotides) under Glycine max (soybean). RNAcentral's name for it is "long non-coding RNA (GMAX_LNC003393)". Lineage: Eukaryota; Viridiplantae; Streptophyta; Magnoliopsida; Fabales; Fabaceae. The record is from RNAcentral.
UUCUUCAUUCUUAAAACCUUUGAACCUUCAAACUCACAUUUAUAUCUUAGAAACUCCUCACAAAUACAAAAUAGUACCAUAAUGGGCAGAAUAGAUUCUCAUGGUUAAAGUUUAAAAGGGAGAGAUAAUUGAGAACAAGUGUACCUAAUGGCCGUUUGCACAUGUAUAUAAGAAAAAAUAAUGAAAUGGACCUGAGAAGGUGGACUGAAGGAGACAUACAUGUGUAUGAGAGAUAGGAAAGUAUGCUGUCGUGAAUUAGGAUGAAAUGGUGGAGGGAGAGUAACAAAUGUAAAAUGAGAGUUUCUGGUUGAACUUUAUCUUAGUUUCUAAAUAUAUAUUCCUAAUUUUCUUGUUGGAUGUGCAUUGUGGAUGCCUGCUGCUAGUGUUGGAAAAUGUGAUUCAAUGUCUAUUGGUAAAUGUCAAAUGAUAAUGUGAAUUUGUUCUCUUUCUGUCUGCAGCAUACUUCAUUGAGCCCUGAUGGGAAACUAGUUGUUAUUGUUGGAGACUACCCAGAAGGGUUACUGGUGGAUUCUCAAACAGGAAAGGUUGGCAUGUUCUGUUUGUCUAUAUCAUAGGUUCCUGGCUGUAUAUUUCUCUUAGGACUCUCUUGAAUGGGAUGAGGGUGGGGGGUGGAUGUGCCAAGUGUGAGAAGUUGUGAAUGUCUAAUUUUAAUUUUGAUUGUCUUUGUAGACUAUCACACCUUUUCGUGGACACUUGGAUUUCUCAUUUGCAUCUGCAUGGCAUCCUGAUGGCCACAUAUUUGCUACUGGGAACCAAGACAAAACAUGUCGUGUUUGGGAUGUUCGGAACUUGUCAAAAUCCGUUGCUGUUCUUAAAGGCAAUCUUGGAGCUAUACGCUCAAUACGUUUCACAUCUGAUGGACACAGUUCAUGGCGAUGGCCGAGCCAGCUGACUUUGUGCAUGUGUACGACGCAAAGCAUGGAUUUGAGAAGGAGCAAGAGAUUGAUUUUUUUGCAGAAUCACUCUUUAUUGGUGUUUGGGACCGCACCUACAGAAGCCUUCUACAGCUCAAUCGAUGCAGAGAAGUAGUCGAAAUGGAUGAUUGUUGUAAUGGUGAUGGUAGCAGAGUUCAUUGUGGUUUGUAAUGUUGUCAGAUUUAAAGUUAAGAUUGUGUCCAUAAAUGUUUGAAGUGUAACCAUAUAAAUCUUGAAAUUUAUUUGAAAAUUCAACCAUCAGCCUACUUGUGUUUUGUGUUUAUAUAUAUAUAUAUAUAUAUAUAUAUAUAUAUAUAAAUUAAAAUAUAUUUUAAUACAUGUAUGUGUUUUAUUUUAUAGUUAAUUAGUAUAUAUGAUGUUAUAAUUUGGGAUAUGAAUUUGUGAGUUAUUAGUAUAUAUGAAAUUAUAAUAUUUAUUUGGUGAUUAUCUAAAAUAAUGUUUUGUAAUCAUGAAUUGGUCAUUAUCCUAUUGAAAGUGGUUGAAAAUUGAAUAUGCAUGAGAUAUAUAAUCUGAAUUGUGGAAGAGAUAUGAGAUAUCUCGAUAUAGGGAUAAGAUUAUAUAUAUACCCUUCAUAUGGAAUAGGAAGAAAUUUUGGAUAUUCAUAAAUACCUCUAUUUGGAAUAGACAGAGAUUUUGAUCUAUGAUAAGAAAGAUAGCGGGACACCAUUAAAUGGAUAUGAGUUGAUAGACCUUUUGAAAAAUCUAAAAUUCACACCGAUUUUGGGAAUUAAAGAGUUGAAUCUAGUGAUUAUGAAAAUCACUGAGCUAUAUUUGUGAUAGUUGUAUUGUUCGAGAAUAGAAUGGAGUGAAGUGUUGAUAUUUAUUUACUAGAAUGUUCUAUUGUUGUUGAAUAAAUUUGUGAUUGUUUUAUAAGUAUAUGUGUACUUAAUUUAAUUUUAUCGAUACCAUGGUUGGAUUUUUUGAUUCCUGUGUUAUCUAAGAAUAACAUUAUUUGCACACUCUUUUAAAAUUUGUUUUGUUUUUCGAGUCGAUGAAAGAAAUUUUUUUUGAAACGGAAUGAAAUUAAAAUCCAAUUUAUUGUUAGCUCAAUUCUGUAGAAGUCUGUACUUUGAGAAUAAAAUUGUUUAUUUAUAAUAUUUAAAGUAUUUCAAACUAUUGAAAUUUAAAGUAUAUUUUUAUCAUGAGUUAUUAUUGUAAUUAAAGACGUUAUACAUCCCAAGUAAAAAAAAGUUUUCCUAAAGUUCGGUGAAAGAAAAUUAUUGGAAAUUAAGAGGUUCUAUUAGCUAUGUUCAAGCCUCCUAUUUUUUAAAUUAUAUUAUUGAUAUAAGUAUCCAUUAAUUUUGUCAAUAAUUAAUUUUGAUUUUAAAACUUAACUAAUCAUCCUUUAGUGUAUUUUAUUCUUCCAAAUAUAUUUUUUAUUUAUAAGCAUAAAUUUCGAAUAUAAAACCUUACUUAAAAAAGGAGUUGAGCUAAAAAAAAAAAACCAACUUGUUGGUGCCUCUGGGAUAAGAAUAGCAGCAAUUUAUUACUAUUAUUUUAUUCUUAAAUAUAGUACUUGUAACUUGUAAGAAGAAGAAAAAAAGGAAAAAAGAAAAAAUCUUACGCCCUAAUCUGUGUCCGAUUUUAUCAAUCACAGACUCAAAGGUGUGCAGUUAUUAUUAUUAUUAUCUACAUAUUUUUGCAAAGCUGCUUCAUCUGUAUUAUUACGCAGAUCAGAUUCAGGUCCUUAUCACCAAGAUCCAACAACUUCUCAACCACAACGAGUUGCUAUUUCCUUCGAUUCACGAACCCAGAAAAUUAAAGAAUUAAAAAAGGUCAGAUUUUUUUAACCCUUUAAGCCAAUUUAAUUAUUCCUGCCAUGAAUUGCAAUUUCUUCACCCCGUUUGAUUUUAUUAAUUCAAUUAUCCUUUUUACUCCCUUAAAGGUUUAUUUUAAUUUUAAUUUUGUUUGUAUAUAUUUGCUGGAGUUCGUCUCCGGUUAGCUACGUUUAAUUUAUUGUUUUUGCUUUUCGAAUUUUCUUCUUCUUCUGAGACCAUAUUAUACCAUUGUUUUGAUUUCUGAAACUACUGAAAAAAGAUAUAUAUAUAUUUUUUUCCGUUAUGCAAGUACAUAUUCCAAUUCAAUUUUUUUUUUUUGCUAUUGCAUGUUCCAAUUCAUUUCAUGGGGUAAUUGAAAAUUCCCCCAAAUUAAUGUUAUGCUGCUAUCAAGCUUUGCUUAUUUUCGCUUAGCUUGUCAAUUUAGGUAUAAAUGGGAUUUUUUUUUUUAAAAAAAGUAUUUGGUUUUAGGGUUUGUUUAAAGUUUUUGCUGCUAAAUAUCUCCAAAUGGUGUUCUUUGCCCUGUACAAUUGAAACAAUAGUAUCUGCAGUUUCUAGUGCAUGAAGAAUUUGGUGUGUUUGGAUGUUGUAAUUUUUUUAUAUAAAAUUUAAACUUAGUACCUGCGGUGUGUAGGUCAUAGAAUUUGAUGUUUAUUUUCUUGCACUCAGUUAUUAUCUUCUACUCAUUUUAGCAUACUGCCUUUAUGAACUAGAUAUCGAGUAUCAAAAACGGCAUCUGGAAAACAUGUCUCAAUACCAUGGUGAUGAAAUGGAGUAUGCGGCAGACGAUAAUGAAAUGGCAGAGGUAGAAGAGGAUAUGUAUUUCCGUGGCAGAGCAUUUGGUGAAUCAGAUUCAGAUGAUGACGACGACUACGAAUAUGACCCUUUGGUUUGUUUUGACUCAUAAGCAAAACCUUGUUUGCUCAUUUUAACUGUGAAAAUUCAAUGUUGUGUGUGGGCUCAUGUGUCCAUGUAUUAUUUGCAUAUGUAGUUGCUGCCUUCUGGUUUUAUGGGCAACUUUAGCUUACAUGAUUAAUUUUACUACAACGUUGCCAUUAACAUAAUAUUUCCAUUUUCUUGCACUUUUCUUGGGAUGGCUUUGGGUUCCCUGUUGCAGGAAAACCGAAUAUCAGAUACCACUGCUGCUGAAGCUAGGAGGGGGAAGGAUAUCCAAGGUAUACCUUGGGAUAGGUUGAGCAUUAGUCGUGAGAAAUAUAGACAAACUAGACUAGACCAGUACAAGAAUUAUGAAAACAUACCACAAUCAGGGGAAAUGUCAGAGAAGGUAAAUAUGUUUUGCUUAGAGUUUGGAUGCAUUUGAUUAGUGAUUUUGAAAAUAUUGUGUACCUUAUACUUUUUCUUCUUCUCUUGUCUACAGGAAUGCAAAGCAACAGAUAAAGGGGGGAAAUAUUAUGAUUUCUGGCAAAACACUAGAUCUGUGAAGUCAACAAUACUUCAUUUCCAAGUAUGUUGAUUUAAUAAUUCUUUACUUCUAAUCAUGUGUGGACGUGAUAAUAUCUGUUUCGUCUACACUCCAUGUUAUCUUGUCUCUUGUGGAAUGACAUGUGCCUCCAUGUACACCUGUGUGAUAGCUGACAGUUUGUUUUGCCAUAUGGGAUAUAUGUUUAUGUUAGAUUAAGCAGUUGUUUAGUAACAUUUAUGUGAAACCUCUAAAUUUUUCAUUUGCAGUUGAGGAAUUUGGUUUGGUCAACAUCAAAACAUGAUGUAUAUCUUGUUUCAAAUUACUCCAUUGUUCACUGGUCUUCAUUAACUUCCAAGAGAUCUGAAGUCUUGAAUGUAUCAGGGCAUGUAGCUCCAUGUGAGGUAAUUAUUUUUUCAUGGUUAUUCUGUUGAAAGCAUCACUUGGGGAAAAAAACCUGAGAUUUCAAAUAUGUGUUUAUAGAAACAUCCUGGAAGCCUCUUGGAAGGUUUUACUCAGACACAAAUUAGUACACUGGCUGUACGAGAUAACUUGUUGAUUGCUGGAGGGUUUCAAGGAGAACUUAUUUGCAAGGUAUUUUUUUGUACCUAUAAUUAGUAUUUUAUACAUAUCAUUAUUCAUCAGAUUCACUAAACCUACAACUCUUCUAGUUUUCUAUUUAACAUAGCCCUUUAGAAUAUCAUGCAUUAUUUUUUUUUUGGCUUUUGUUGCACAAAUUGGUGUAUGGUUUUAAUACUCUAACUUAUUAUACAGUAUAGAUGUUAACCUCGUUCUUGAGAUGAUGUUGAUUGCUUUAACAAAAUAGGAAUAAUCUGAAGUCAUCCUCAAUUUUUCUGCCUUGAUCUUGUAUAUUGAUGUGUUUGUCAAUAUUUUCAUGUUGCUUGAUGACACAUUCGUAAUGUCCUGCAGUACUUAGACAGGCCAGGGGUUAGUUUUUGUACCCGAACUACGUAUGAGGACAAUGCAAUCACAAAUGCUGUGGAGAUUUAUGAGCACCCAAGGUCCUUCUUCUUUUCUUUCUUAUUAUCCUUUUCCUUGAUUUUUUUGGUUUGCAAGUUGUUUGAGCAAUCACUGUGCUCAACCCUCAAAUAGGGCUUCUUACUAAUGAUUGAUAAAUCUAUCAGUGGAGCUGUUCAUUUCAUGGCUUCAAACAAUGACUCUGGAGUUAGAGACUUUGAUAUGGAGAGAUUUCAGCUUUCGAAGCAUUUCUGCUUUCCUUGGCCAGUAAAUGUAAGUACUUCCACUUUGAUUUUCCAUGUUUUAAAUAAUAGAUAUGACAUUUUUAUUAUUAUUGUUUUGAUGGGUAUAUAUAUAUAUAUAUUGCUUUAUCUAGGCCUGGAAUUUUGACAAAUUAUGAAUUGGCAUGACUUUGUGGAAAAAAAAAGAGGCUCGGUUGUUGUUAUGACUUUGCUAGUUUGCACUACUUUAUUAAUUAUUAGGAUACAAGAGAAUGGGAAGAAGGAUAGAAUGGUAAAAACAGAAUUAUGUUUUAUAAAUGGCAAAUGCUUGAUUACAAUUUGAUUUGAAUUAUGCCUAAGUUGAUACAUUUUUUCCCUCUAUUCUUUUCCUUUUUUAUUGCUUUGUAAAGUUCUAGUCUAGCUUUUUAACUGUAGCAUUAUAGUUGUUGGGCUCUGUUGAACUGUUUGGUAAUUGUAAGCUGCCUUUAAUAUUUCCCCCCCUAAAAGAACAGCUUUAAUAAUUUUAUUUGUGAAACAGAAAUAUCAUCUUGCUGUUCCUUGAAAUCUAGUUUCUUUGAAGAAUUUACAGAAAUUCAGUUUUUGAAACCUUGAUUAGUGUUCUGAUUUCACACUGUUUUUUAUGGUUGCUUGGCCAAGUGCUUUAGAAUAUAAUUUUGGUACCAUUUGACCAUCUUUUAGCCUGAAUUUUUACAGUUUGCUUGUAAAAUAAAUUUAUUCUAUAUGUACUUGAAUGCUGAAAGUUGAAUAUCCUUUUCUGGCCAAUUGGGGUUGAAGUGGGUGUUCUUAUGUUUAAACUCUGGUGUUUUUUUUUUUUUAAGAAAGACAUGCAGAGCAGCAUGCCCAAGUAUAAUUCAGUUUAAAACUUGGUGUUAAGACUUAGAAGUAUUAUUAUCUGGAUGGGCCACCUAAAACUAUAUAUGUACUAACCAUAGAAAGGACAAUCCCUCAUUUGGUGUCAAUUUUCUUCAUUCUUAAAACCUUUGAACCUUCAAACUCACAUCUAUAUCUUAGAAACUCCUCACAAAUACAAAAUAGUACCAUAAUGGGCAGAAUAGAUUCUCAUGGUUAAAGUUUAAAAGGGAGAGAUAAUUAAGAACAAGUGUACCUAAUGGCCGUUUGCACAUGUAUAUAAGAAAAUAUAAUGAAAUGGACCUGAGAAGGUGGACUGAAGGAGACAUACAUGUGUAUGAGAGAUAGGAAAGUAUGCUGUCGUGAAUUAGGAUGAAAUGGUGGAGGGAGAGUAACAAAUGUAAAUGUGGCAGCAGGGUAUUGGAUGCAAUGAUGAGAGUAAAGAAAAUGUGAAUAAGGAGGGGGGAUUUUGCAAUGUGGUUUAGUGGCCCAGGCCAAGGACGGAAGAGUGUGUGAAUUCAGCUCGUUCUCUAUUCUGCCCACUUUCUAUGUUACUUGCUGAUUUUUUUUAUUUUUAUUUUUUUGUGAAUGUGGCUGAAUUUCUUCUUUUGUAAAUGAGUGUUUCUGGUUGAACUUUAUCUUAGUUUCUAAAUAUAUAUUCCUAAUUUUCUUGUUGGAUGUGCAUUGUGGAUGCCUGCUGCUAGUGUUGGAAAAUG